UACGUAGGGUCCGAGCGUUGUCCGGAAUUAUUGGGCGUAAAGAGCUCGUAGGCGGUUUGUCGCGUCUGCUGUGAAAUCCCGAGGCUCAACCUCGGGCCUGCAGUGGGUACGGGCAGACUGGAGUGCGGGAGGGGAGAAUGGAAUUCCUGGUGUAGCGGUGGAAUGCGCAGAUAUCAGGAGGAACACCGAUGGCGAAGGCAGGUCUCUGGGCAGUAACUGACGCUGAGGAGCGAAAGCGUGGGGAGCGAACAGG
Molecule: ribosomal RNA, 253 nt
Filed under: uncultured bacterium
Lineage: Bacteria
Description: partial 16S ribosomal RNA
Rfam family: Bacterial small subunit ribosomal RNA
Source: RNAcentral